UUCCAGACUCCUACGGGAGGCAGCAGUGAGGAAUAUUGGUCAAUGGGCGCGAGCCUGAACCAGCCAAGUCGCGUGAGGGAGGACGGCCCUACGGGUGUAAACCUCUUUUGCCGGGGAGCAACGGGCGUCACGUGUGGCGCCACUGAGAGUACCCGGAGAAAAAGCAUCGGCUAACUCCGUGCCAGCAGCCGCGGUAAUACGGAGGAUGCGAGCGUUAUCCGGAUUUAUUGGGUUUAAAGGGUGCGUAGGCGGACUGGAAAGUCAGCGGUAAAAUCGAGAGGCUCAACCUCUUUCCGCCGUUGAAACUGUCGGUCUUGAGUGGGCGAGAAGUAUGCGGAAUGCGUGGUGUAGCGGUGAAAUGCAUAGAUAUCACGCAGAACUCCGAUUGCGAAGGCAGCAUACCGGCGCCCGACUGACGCUGAGGCACGAAAGCGUGGGUAUCGAACAGGAUUAGAUACCCUAGUAC
This 466-nucleotide ribosomal RNA is filed under the name uncultured bacterium. Its description in RNAcentral is "bacterial SSU rRNA". It matches the Rfam family "Bacterial small subunit ribosomal RNA", at positions 329 to 793 of the family's 1533-position model. The record is from RNAcentral.